This is a long non-coding RNA of Triticum dicoccoides, 2168 nucleotides long. RefSeq lists it as uncharacterized. The transcript has 3 exons. Lineage: Eukaryota; Viridiplantae; Streptophyta; Magnoliopsida; Poales; Poaceae. The record is from RefSeq and is a predicted model, not a curated record.
CACUUAACCCACCUUCUUCCCAGUCAACCCCCACCUCUCUCCCAUGUUUCUCCCGCUCCACCCCCAACCUCCACCUCUCGCGGCUCCAGCAACCUAAGACCCUGCCACCCUAUCCAACUACCUUCAUCGCCGCUGCCGGACUGGACGCGCGCCGCCACCACUCGAUUUGCCGCUCCACUCCAUCACCUAGCUCCCUGUCUGCCGCGCCCUGGAGUGGAUCCAGAUGGUUGCGCCCGUGGAAAGGAUCCGGCGACCAGGGCUUUCCCAGUGCCCUACCUUCCUUACCGCGCGCCGCCCCUGCUAGCUCUUGGAUGCCCAGCCAUGGCUCCUCUCUUGGCCGAGCUCUCCUUGCCGUCCCCGACCCACCGUGGAGCUCCCUCGGCCGAAUCCAUCGGCUGUCGAAUCCGGCGCCGGCGAGCGGAUGGGCCGCCUCCCCUGCACCACCCCAGCCAGAUCCAGUCGGUUGCCUCCGCACCCACUUCUCCUUCGCCUCCUUCUCGGGCAAACUACUCCUCCCGCGGAUCCAUCGGCCACCGAAUCCCAUGUCGGCUGGCUGUCGCGGCCCCACGCCACCAGAUCCUGUCGAGGGGGUGCUCCGUCGGGCUUGUGGAGGCGAGGUGCUGGUAGGAGGUCACCUCCACCGUGCAGUGCACACCGGCGCACGUGCAGUUCAUCAACACAGCGUGCAAAUCCCCCACACGGAGAAUUCACCAGGGGGACAUCAAUGAAAAAGUCAUGGAUGGCUGCGAUGAUUAGGGUCUCCAAAUGCAAAAACUGAAGUAUUUUGUUUUGAGGGCAUGCAGCGCAAAAUACUUAUGUUUUUAGGAGUUCAUUUUGUUUUCAGUUUUUGUAGUCGAAUAUAUGCGUCUCUGCAGUAUGAUGGUUGUGCAGUUCGAUUGCAAUUGAUGUGUGUUUUCUCCUCCAUGGCACUGCAAGCUACUGAUUUUCCAUGAACACGCUGUUGUCUGCCAUUCCAGGUUCACUGCCAUAGCAGUUUGGUGUGUGUGCUAAACAAGUCUUGCAAUUCCCUUGCGCUCUCCACCGGUAGGAGCCUGCCCGGCCUCUGCCUCAUCGACUCGUUAAAACUGAAUUGCAACAUACCAAGGAGGAGAGUGGUGUGGGCUCCAUUCUUUCGGCUCUGGUGAGGCCUCCAACGAGCGCCUCGCCACCAGACCAAAACUCGCAAUUGCCGUUGUUCCUUCGGUGCCGUCGGUGGUCGUCCCUUCAUUGUUGGGAGUCGUUGCAGUCCGUCGGCGACGCGCUUGCAGCUCGCCGCCCUUAGACAGUCCCAUGGCGGAGCUCUACUAUCUGGGCUGUCCCGCUCCCCUCUCUUCUCCUACCUCCGGAUGUAGUACGUCAGUGCCGUGGGCGCCGCACCAGUGUAGUUCGCCGGUGACGAAUGGUGCAGUGCACCUCGCCGUGCGGUGCGGCUCAGAGUAGUUUCCCCCUCCCCCCUUUUUAUCUUUUCCACCUUUUUUCUGGAUUUUCCAUGUGUAGUUCAACCAGAUCCCGGGAGCAGUGCACUGCCCGCCCUGAUGUAGUUCAUCCAUAGCCACCACGCGAGGUCAUCGUUGCUAGUGUCGUGACUCCAAGCAGAUGGCGGGUGGAGUAGCCCACCUUGCACUGCAGCAUGGCGUUUCCAUUAUGGUGUCGCUCCUCCUCCCAUCUCUCAUCCUUUCUUGCAGUUCACUAUAUAGAUUGAAGCAGUGCUCCACCUACUUACCUGCAUCACAAAGUUCACUUGAAAAAAUGUUAACCACAUCACCGGUGGUACUUUGAUUGUUGUUCAGCUGGUGGCCCACACAGGCUAUGGAGGCGCUGCUGCAAGUUUACCUACAGACGUCCUCCACCUCGACGAGGUAUGCGAGAUCCAACCGGAGACUGCCCCAGCCACCAGGAGCAUACCCACUCGCCGACGAGACAGCAACCCACAAGCGUCGUGCGUGUGCAGUUCAUUUUUGCGUAUGCUUGCAAAAUGCGGUGUGUGUAUGCGUACAGUCCACCCCCUCGGUCAUGAGUGUAUUUUGUGAGAAAAUAUUUUGUAUUGUCACAUGUGACGAUUUUGCUUGUUUUAUGUAUGCUUGUAAAAUGCAUUGUGUGUAUGAGUGCAGUGCACUCUUGUGGUUCCCUUCGUAAAAACAAUAGAAAACAUCACAAAGAAGUUCACU